Oncorhynchus tshawytscha (Chinook salmon) is the source of this 357-nucleotide long non-coding RNA. The record is from Ensembl. NCBI's taxonomy places the organism in Eukaryota, Metazoa, Chordata, Actinopteri, Salmoniformes, Salmonidae.
GGGAGAGGUAGAGGUAACGGGAGAGGUAGAGGUAACGGGAGAGGGGAGGGAGAGGGCGAGAUGGAGGGAGAGGUAGAGGUAACGGGAGAGGUAGAGGUAACGGGAGAGGGGAGGGAGAGGUAGAGGUAACGGGAGAGGGGAGGGAGAGGUAGAGGUAACGGGAGAGGGAGGGAGAGGGCGAGAUGGAGGGAGAGGUAGAGGUAACGGGAGAGGGGAGGGAGAGGUAGAGGUAACGGGAGAGGGGAGGGAGAGGGCGAGAUGGAGGGAGAGGUAGAGGUAACGGGAGAGGGAGAGGGCGAGAUGGAGGGAGAGGUAGAGGUAACGGGAGAGGGGAGGGAGAGGUAGAGGUAACGGGAG